AGCACGUUGGGAGCAAUGGCGUUGCUAAGAAACCAGCAAGCUGUCCGAGAAGGAGCUGUUCGGUGUGGAUUGGAAAUAUACCUGGAAAACCUCAGAAGUUGGCCAGUGGGUGGUGUAGCAUGUCAGCCAUGCACUGGGAGGCCCGUCGCCGUCAGCAAGUGCUGGAUCGCAGAUUAUCUGCUAGAAUAAAGCAGGGAGACAACCAAGAUAAAAAAGAAGAGAAGCCUAUUGCACAUGUGACACCCUGUGAACCUCCAGUGUAAACGUAUUUUUUUAUAGAGGCUGACAAGCAAUGCAUCUGUAAGUGUCACACCAAGAUGGGUAAAAGAUACACCUCUCUGCAGUAUUCGCAGCAAUGGUGAGGAGCUUCUGGAUCACACCAAUCCCUCAUCAAGGUGUAUCUUACAGGAAAGCAAACUUUAUUUUUCUGUCUCACAAUCCUAAUAAAAACAGAAGUGGUCUAACA
Molecule: non-coding RNA, 466 nt
Organism: Danio rerio (zebrafish)
Lineage: Eukaryota; Metazoa; Chordata; Actinopteri; Cypriniformes; Danionidae
Source: RefSeq, a predicted model, not a curated record